This 391-nucleotide ribosomal RNA is filed under the name uncultured bacterium. RNAcentral describes it as "bacterial SSU rRNA". It matches the Rfam family "Bacterial small subunit ribosomal RNA", at positions 28 to 417 of the family's 1533-position model. The record is from RNAcentral.
GACGAACGCUGGCGGCGUGCUUAACACAUGCAAGUCGAGCGGUAAGGCCCUUUCGGGGGUACACGAGCGGCGAACGGGUGAGUAACACGUGGGUGACCUGCCCUCAGCUCUGGGAUAAGCCUGGGAAACCGGGUCUAAUACUGGAUAUGACUCCAUGACGCAUGUUGGUGGGGUGGAAAGCCUUGUGCGGCGUGAGGAUGGGCCCGCGGCCUAUCAGCUUGGUUGGUGGGGUGAUGGCCUACCAAGGCGACGACGGGUAGCCGGCCUGAGAGGGCGACCGGCCACACUGGGACUGAGACACGGCCCAGACUCCUACGGGAGGCAGCAGUGGGGAAUCUUGCGCAAUGGGCGAAAGCCUGACGCAGCGACGCCGCGUGAGGGAUGACGGCCU